GAUGAACGCUGGCGGCGUGCUUAACACAUGCAAGUCGAACGGUGAAGCUCCAGCUUGCUGGAGUGGAUCAGUGGCGAACGGGUGAGUAACACGUGAGCAACCUGCCCCUGACUCUGGAAUAAGCUCUGGAAACGGCGUCUAAUACUGGAUACGAGAAGGGUCCGCAUGGGCACUUUCUGGAAAGUUUUUCGGUUGGGGAUGGGCUCGCGGCCUAUCAGCUUGUUGGUGAGGUAAUGGCUCACCAAGGCGACGACGGGUAGCCGGCCUGAGAGGGCGACCGGCCACACUGGGACUGAGACACGGCCCAGACUCCUACGGGAGGCAGCAGUGGGGAAUAUUGCACAAUGGGCGAAAGCCUGAUGCAGCGACGCCGCGUGAGGGAUGACGGCCUUCGGGUUGUAAACCUCUUUCAGCAGGGAAGAAGCGAAAGUGACGGUACCUGCAGAAGAAGCACCGGCUAACUACGUG
RNAcentral lists this ribosomal RNA (468 nucleotides) under uncultured bacterium. RNAcentral's name for it is "partial 16S ribosomal RNA". It matches the Rfam family "Bacterial small subunit ribosomal RNA", at positions 28 to 507 of the family's 1533-position model. The record is from RNAcentral.